GGUAAAGUGGCCGAGUAGGCGGCGGAUUGUAGACCCGCGAACAGAGGUUUAAAUCCUCUCUUUAUCA
This 67-nucleotide transfer RNA is filed under the name Cardioglossa leucomystax (silver long-fingered frog). RNAcentral's name for it is "tRNA-Tyr". It matches the Rfam family "tRNA". From Rfam's summary of the family: Transfer RNA (tRNA) molecules are approximately 80 nucleotides in length. The record is from RNAcentral. Lineage: Eukaryota; Metazoa; Chordata; Amphibia; Anura; Arthroleptidae.